UAGCUGUUGGGAGACAAGAUCUCUCAGUGGCGCAGCUAACGCUUUAAGUUGUCCGCCUGGGGAGUACGGCCGCAAGGUUAAAACUCAAAUGAAUUGACGGGGACCCGCACAAGCGGUGGAGCAUGUGGUUUAAUUCGAUGCAACGCGAAAAACCUUACCUACUCUUGACAUACUUGGAAGCUCUUGUAAUGAGAGUGUGCUUUUAGAGCCAAGAUACAGGUGCUGCAUGGCUGUCGUCAGCUCGUGUCGUGAGAUGUUGGGUUAAGUCCCAUAACGAGCGCAACCCUUACCCUUAUUUGCCAGCGGUUCGGCCGGGAACUAUAAGGGGACUGCCGGUGACAAACCGGAGGAAGGUGAGGACGACGUCAAGUCAUCAUGGCCCUUACGAGUAGGGCUACACACGUGCUACAAUGGGGAAUACAGACGGACGCUAAAGCGUGAGCUGGUGCUAAUCCUAAAAAAUUUCUCGUAGUCCGGAUUGCAGUCUGCAACUCGACUGCAUGAAGUCGGAAUCGCUAGUAAUCGCGAAUCAGCAUGUCGCGGUGAAUACGUUCUCGGGUCUUGUACACACCGCCCGUCACACCAUGGAAGUGUGUUGCACCAGAAGUAGGUAGUCUAACCUUCGGGAAGGCGCUUACCACGGUGUGAUCCAUGACUGGGGUGAAGUCGUAACAAGGUAACCGUA
This 685-nucleotide ribosomal RNA is filed under the name uncultured bacterium. RNAcentral's name for it is "bacterial SSU rRNA". It matches the Rfam family "Bacterial small subunit ribosomal RNA", at positions 817 to 1504 of the family's 1533-position model. The record is from RNAcentral.